GCCAUGGCUUUGCAGAGCACUCUGGGGGCAGUGUGGCUGGGGCUUCUCCUCAACUCUCUCUGGAAGGUUGCAGAAAGCAAGGACCAAGUGUUUCAGCCUUCCACAGUGGCAUCUUCGGAGGGAGCUGUGGUGGAAAUCUUCUGUAAUCACUCUGUGUCCAAUGCUUACAACUUCUUCUGGUACUUUCACUUCCCGGGAUAUGCACCAAGACUCCUUGUUAAAGGCUCAAAGCCUUCUCAGCAGGGACGAUACAACAUGACCUAUGAACGGUUCUCUUCAUCGCUGCUCAUCCUCCAGGUGCGGGAGGCAGAUGCUGCUGUUUACUACUGUGCUUUACAAGCAUUUAAUGGUUUAAUCAAGCAUGUAGUUUUUACCAGUAUACAAAAUGAGACUUAGUAUAAAACGGUCUUCAACUGUCAAGUCAGUUGUUCCUGGAGUAUUUUACGGGGAAAAGCAAACUUCACCAAACAUAGAGUAUCAACAUUCAAGUGCUCUUUUCCAUGAGUUUCUGAUUUUCAACUUAGGAGAGAAGAACAGCAUUUAAUAACUGCAUCCCUUGCAUAUGGGAUGUACGACAGGCUAUACCAGGUCAUUGACAAGAACUGCAAUAUGCAGAAUAACACAGCCAGUCCCUUCUUAUGCCACCAAAGAGCAGCACACAGGGUAAAUAUGAAACACAAGAGCAUAAUAAUUGUUGCAAGCAAUCUUGUUGUUUCAAACAUUUUCUUCAGUUGCUUCA
Molecule: non-coding RNA, 739 nt
Organism: Pongo pygmaeus (Bornean orangutan)
Lineage: Eukaryota; Metazoa; Chordata; Mammalia; Primates; Hominidae
Source: the annotation of a RefSeq genome assembly